Cercocebus atys (sooty mangabey) is the source of this 5002-nucleotide RNA transcript. It is a transcript of the gene named zinc finger protein 324, with no coding region annotated. The record is from RefSeq and is a predicted model, not a curated record. NCBI's taxonomy places the organism in Eukaryota, Metazoa, Chordata, Mammalia, Primates, Cercopithecidae. The transcript has 5 exons.
AAAGACACUUAAAUGGGUCCCAAGAAAAAAGGAAAAAAGAAUAUUGUGAUGUGUAGGGCAAGACAAGAACUAGAUGGUCUAAGGACAAGCAAGGCUGGGGAAGUACCUUCUGCCCAUCCAAAUUACAAGGAAAACAGAUGCUUUGGGCAAGAGUCCAAGAACAAUCACAGACUUGAGGCAAAUGUAGGGUUACGGGCUGAGAAUUCUUGGUGUAAAGGUUGAAAAACUGACCUUAAACCUUUACGGGACACUGACACAGAGAGGUCGAACCCGCGCCCAGGACGCACAGUCAGUGAGGCGGAGCUGGGAAGGGAACCCUGAGCUCCAGGCUUCGGCGCCUCCACCUACACCUGCCCUACCCGGUGCGUUUUCUCCUCCGUGCUGCCUGCUGGUGGUGCUUUCUGGAACCUCGGCAGUUUCUGCUUUUGCACCUGCAGGGUUUAGUCUCGGGCUGCUUGGGAGGACACCGGGAAUGCAGAAGGCAGAACUACACACCGGGCGAGUGCACCAGCGCCACCAAACCCCUGAAAACCCGAGGCCGCCGCGCGACUCCAUUUCCCAACGCCCCGCGCGGCGGGGGCUUGGGCGUUGCCAAGGAGACCGGCAGUGGCCCCGCCUCCACGCAGGGAAACAGGCGGGAACCACAUGACCCGGAAGGCUGUGCGCAAGCGUCCGCGGCGCGCAUUGGGCCAAUGAGAACCGAAGGGCUGGAGUUCCGGCGGUGGGACUGUCAUUGGUCGCCCGCGUCAGGCCAUACCGGUGGUCUGUGCUGGGGCCCGCGGGUCGGGGCCAGUUUCCAGGAGGUUCCCGGGGCCCGAGGCUGGCGGCGAGGAAGGACCAGAUGGCCUUCGAGGAUGUGGCUGUGUACUUCUCCCAGGAGGAGUGGGGGCUCCUGGACACAGCCCAGAGGGCCCUGUACCGCCGUGUGAUGCUGGACAACUUUGCACUUGUGGCCUCGCUGGGACUCUCCACCUCUCGACCUCGUGUGGUCAUCCAACUUGAGCGUGGCGAGGAGCCCUGGGUUCCCAGCGGAACGGACACGAUCCUGUCCAGGAACACCUACAGGAGGCGCAACCCUGGUUCCUGGAGUGUGGCAGAGGAUGGAGAUGUUUCUGGAGAAUGGCCACGAGCUUUCCCAGAUACCCCACCUGGGAUGACUACUAGCGUCUUCCCAGUUGCCGGUGCCUACCACAGUGUAAAAAGCCUGCAGCGACAACGGGGUGCCUCCCCAUCUCGGGAGAGAAAACCCACAGGGGUGUCGGUGAUCUACUGGGAGAGACUCCUGCUAGGCUCGGGCAGUGGGCAAGCCAGCGUCAGCCUGCGACUGACCUCCCCGCUUAGGCCUCCUGAGGGCGGCCCGCUUAGGGAAAAGACCCUCACAGAGCACCCGGUGCCUGGGAGGAGGCCCAGGACCCCUGAGCGGCAGAAGCCAUGUGCACAGGAGGUCCCUGGGAGAGCCUUCGGGAAUGCCCCGGAUCUGGAGGCCGCCAGCGGUCGAGGGCAUCAUGGAAUGGGUCCGACUUGGCAGGAGCCUCAGAGACUCCUCGGUGGCCAGGAACCUUCCACCUGGGAUGAGCUGGGCGACGCUCUCCCCGCUGGGGAGAAGUCCUUCGAAUGCAGGGCGUGCAGCAAAGUGUUCGUGAAGAGCUCCGACCUCCUCAAGCACCUACGCACCCACACCGGGGAGCGGCCCUACGAGUGCGCCCAGUGCGGCAAGGCCUUCAGCCAGACAUCGCACCUGACGCAGCACCAGCGCAUCCACAGCGGCGAGACGCCCUACGCCUGCCCCGUGUGCGGCAAGGCCUUCCGGCACAGCUCCUCACUGGUGCGGCACCAGCGCAUCCACACGGCCGAGAAGUCCUUCAGCUGCUCCGAGUGCGGCAAGGCCUUCAGCCACGGCUCCAACCUCAGCCAGCACCGCAAGAUCCACGCGGGCGGGCGUCCCUAUGCCUGCGCACAGUGUGGCCGCCGCUUCUGCCGCAACUCGCACCUGAUCCAGCACGAGCGUACGCACACGGGCGAGAAGCCCUUCGUGUGCGCGCUCUGUGGUGCCGCCUUCAGCCAGGGCUCCUCGCUCUUUAAGCACCAGCGCGUGCACACAGGCGAGAAGCCCUUUGCCUGCCCACAGUGCGGCCGCGCCUUUAGCCACAGCUCCAACCUCACCCAGCACCAGCUCCUGCACACGGGCGAGCGGCCCUUCCGCUGUGGGGACUGUGGCAAGGCCUUCGCCAAGGGCGCUGUGCUGCUGAGCCACCGGCGCAUUCACACGGGCGAGAAGCCCUUCGUGUGCACGCAGUGUGGCCGCGCCUUCCGUGAGCGCCCGGCCCUCUUCCACCACCAGAGGAUCCAUACCGGCGAGAAGCCCGUCCGGCGAUCCAGGGCCAGCUUGCACCCCCAGGCCAGGUCUGUUUCCGCGACAUCAUCAGAAGGUGCGCCAGGGAAGGAAACCGAGCCCACUCCCGCCUCGGGCCCAGCCGCAGUCUCGGAGCCAGGGGAGGUCUGAGGUCACAGGUUGCAGCCCUGGCCUUGUGUGAAUCCCGUCCACAGCUAAAGGGCAUAUGUCCUCUGCAGAUCCACAGCAGAGAAAAAGCCCCGUGCUUGCUAGUCAGGGCUUUGGCUGUGAUUUCAUUUGCACUUGGGGACAGGAUUUGCCAGUUCACCCACAGAUCACACCUCCAUCCCCAAAGAGGUAGCACUACAGAAGCCUCAUGGGGAGGAUGUGGUGGCUGAACUCCAGUGGGGCCGAGACUAUUCAGAGCCAGUAGGAGGUGGACAGUCACAGCACUGCACUGUGGUGCUGCUUCGUGUGUUGACAGUGGGUGCUAAGGUGAGAGGGAUGCGGGCAUGGGUUGGGGGGUGGCCUAGAGAAACUUAUGACAGCUGCACACAAACUGGCUGCUGGAUAGAUGCCCACUGAGGGUGUUCUCAACCCACCACUGCCUCUGUUCAUCCAAGGCUUCCUAGAGGCCAGCCUAGCAGACAAGAGACCACAAGGGACUGGGGAUCAGGGUGUGGGCUCUCAGUGUCAGCCACCUCCUCUGGGAAAAGAAAAGGUUUGGGUCCACUGAACAUCAUGUUUGCAGACGCUGACAGGUGGGGUCCUAAUGAGAGCCAACACGUGCUCACUGCCAGCUCCCGUCCUGAGUGCUGGGAAAUUUCUCCUGAAGCCCUGUGAGAUGGCUGCUGUGGCUGGUAUCCUGACUUGGAAGAUGAGGAAACUGACACAAAGGGGAAGAUGGUAUUGAACAUACCCUGACAUGCCAUCAGCGUUUGUCAUCAUCACAGAAGUUCCUGGACUUGGCUUCAACCUGGGUACCCUCAAGAGGCCACAGAAUAGAGAUGCAGCCUGUCUGCGGCCCAGGGAGGGAGUGGGAUACCUGUAUCCUUUUCAGGGCCAGAGGUGGGUUGUGGGAGCCAGGAGCCCGAUGAAAUGGGAUAGAGUGGGGCUGCCUGGAGCAGCAGCUGGGCUAGGAGACGAGGCCUGGUGGAUCCUGGCAAUGGGAGGAUGGUAGGUGGAGAAACCAAGGCAGGGCUGUGUCCCUUCUGCUGCUGAGAUAGAGGGCGUGGCCAUGUGGUGACCCUGCAAGGCUGCCUCCAGACCAGUGGGCACUCCAUCCCAUCUUCCAAAAUCUUGCAGCUAUCCUGCCCUAUACACAAAGAGCAGACUCAGGCCCCACUUACUUGAUAUUGGGGCCAGAUUCUUCCAUCUGUGAGGAGACACAGAGGACCCAGCUCCCCCGGAGCCUGCAAGACUUGGGCCACCAGAAUCCCAGUAGGUCCCUGAACCAUUGUCCCCCACUAAGUCUGCAGAGCUGUGAAAUGCAGACAAUAACCCUUCCCUGCCUGAAAGAGCACUUUUCUGGGGGAGCCCAUGGGAGUCAGGAGCAAAAGCAUCUGUCAAGUAGAUACCCAGAGAGUUACAUGAAAUCAUUUCUGUGCCUUUGAUAGAUGCUUCUUGAACAAAGUUUCUGCCCUGAGCCCGCCUGACCCCUCAGGCUGGGCUCAGUGCCCUACCUUGUCUUCGCACCAGCCUCCUCCCUCCAUCAGGCUCCUUUCCGUAUCUGCUUGUGCCCCUGUUGUCCCUCAGUUUGUCCACCCUCUUCCAAUCUCCCCCUCCCCAAACCCAUGACUGGUCAGUGGCCCCCAGCCUAGGCUCCCGCCUCCACGCAGGUCUUGGCCCCUCAGCUGACCUCCCUCCAACCUCCCUCUCUGCUCUUACUUUUGAGUAGGUAGUGACUGUAAAAGUAUCCCCGGGCUUCUAGGUCAAAAGGUCAGACUGAACACCUGCAUCUCAGUGGGCUCAGAAAUCCACGGAAACCACAGAGGGCAAUAUUUAAAACACAUAAACCCACAAGUAUGAGGAUGGUGAAAGAGGAGUCAGGAGCAAUGGCAUGCCUAAGCUAGACAUGGAUGAGAGCUGUCACUACGUUAGGGAAGGCCAAAUACUGCGUGGCGACUUGGGGAAGUGGAGAGAGUUCCCACCAGGCUGACUCCAGAACUGCAGAAGGCUGAGAACCAGCAGCCCAGAGACGGGAGACCUAUAACAAAGCUGCCUGGGGAACAGCUACUGAAGGAGCCCUUAACGCCCCACUGCUCUCCCCACCUGGUGGAGGGUGAAAGUUUUUUUGUUUUCUGAGACUACGCAUAGUCCCAGAGAAAAGACCUAAGCACCUCAUCCCCAAAAACAACCUGAGGCGGCCUCUGGAAAGCUCCGAGUUGACAGGUCUUACCCACGCACAUGCUCAGUGCUUCAAAUCAGCGAUUAAGGCCAUUGCUUUUCAUCCGGAGCAGGCAGCAGGGAUUCCCAGGUAUCCAAAGAAACCAAAACAGGUGGUGUAAUUUAGGACUGAAUAAUUCAUGGCUCGGCCACUUUAAGUGUGGAAGCAAAACUGACCCCACAGAUACAGAAAACUAACACUGCUUAUUGGGAGACACUAGUGUCACCCUGUCUAGUUCUGCUCCCCAAAUUAAAUAAAAGGGAAAUAAACAGUUGAGCACGUCC